UCCCAAGGGUUGGACUAGACUGCUAGUCAGCGCUCUCUAGCUAAUAUGAGAGUGCGGCGCACAGCUCAGUAACACGUGGCUAACCUGCCCUUGGGACGGAGACACCCCCGGGAAACUGGGGCUAAUCCCCGAUAGGAGAAGACACCUGGAAUGGGUCUCCUCCUAAAAGGCGCCCAGACCAUGCUUUUAGGUGCUGCUCAAGGACGGGGCCGCGGCCGAUCAGGUUGUUGGUGAGGCAACGGCUCACCAAGCCUAUAACCGGUACGGGCCGUGAGAGCGGGAGCCCGGAGAUGGGCACUGAGACAAGGGCCCAGGCCCUACGGGGCGCAGCAGUUGCGAAAACUCCGCAAUGCGCGAAAGCGUGACGGGGCUACCCCGAGUGCCGUCCGCUGAGGAUGGCUUUUCCACGGUGUAAGGAGCCGUGGGAAUAAGGAGAGGGCAAGACUGGUGUCAGCCGCCGCGGUAAUACCAGCUCUCCGAGUGGUGGGGAUGAUUAUUGGGCUUAAAGCGUUCGUAGCCGGCCCGGCAAGUCUCCCGUUAAAUCCAGCGAUCUAAUCGUUGGACUGCGGGAGAUACUGUUGGGCUAGGGGGCGGGAGAAGCCGACGGUACUCUCGGGGUAGGGGUGAAAUCCUAUAAUCCCGGGAGGACCACCAGUGGCGAAGGCGGUCGGCUAGAACGCGCUCGACGGUGAGGGACGAAAGCUGGGGGAGCGAACCGGAUUAGAUACCCGGGUAGUCCCAGCAGUAAACGAUGCGGGCUAGGUGUUGGGGCGGCUACGAGCCGCUUCAGUGCCGCACGGAAGCAAUUAAGCCCGCCGCCUGGGGAGUACGGCCGCAAGGCUGAAACUUAAAGGAAUUGGCGGGGGAGCACCACAAGGCGUGAAGCUUGCGGUUUAAUUGGAGUCAACGCCGGG
Molecule: ribosomal RNA, 914 nt
Filed under: uncultured archaeon
Lineage: Archaea
Description: bacterial SSU rRNA
Rfam family: Archaeal small subunit ribosomal RNA
Source: RNAcentral